AGGGUGUUGAGACUCUGGAACAGGCUGCCCAAAGAAGUGGUAAAUGCCCCAUCCCUGGCAGUGUUCAAGGCCAGGUUGGACAGAGCCUUGGGUGACAUGGUCUUGUGUGAGGUGUCCCUGCCCAUGGCAGGGGGUUGGAACUGGGUGAUCUUAAGGUCCUUUCCAACCCAAACCAGCCUGUGAUUCUAUGAUUUUAAGAAUUUGGAUACAUCUACAUUUUGAGAAGGCAAAGAGUCUGUCUCCUCUAAUUUAACUCCUAGAGCCUGUACAUGUUGUUACAAAUCUGCUUGGUUUUGUGUUUUGUUUUUUUAUUUCCUGAUCCAUUUGAAAAGUAGGACGUAAAUAAUAUGUCUAAAUGCUGCUGCUUUCUACCUAAACUAAGGCUAGGUUGAAAGCAUUCAUGGUCUGGCGCUACUGAAGAGAAAUAGGCAAAGGAAGCUCAGCAGCAGUUGUGGUUUGAUUUGCACUGUGAUAGAUUUGCUCUGGUUGCAGCAAUGCCAAGUAACUUCACUAAAAAAUUCAAGGUAGGUUAAACACGUAAUGGUCUCACAGCUCACAGCUGUCGAUGGGAGGGAGCGUUAAAUUUUAAUAUCCCUUUUUGUCUGAGAUGCUCUUCUUAAUGGAGUUGCAUUCCCUAAGUCUCUGCUAAAGCUUGUGUACCUAUCUAGUGAAAAAUGCCAGCGUUUAACAAGUUACGUUGCCUUCUCACUUAGGAUAGGCAAUCCUACCCUCGCGUGAAGAAAAAGGUCAAUAUUUGCUGUCAUAAAUCGUAACUGAAGAUCACAUACUUUGCAAGUCAGAAGCUGAAAGUUUUAAAACUUUUCCUAAACUCUGUCCCACGUUUGUGCAUUUUAGGUGUUCGCCUGCACGAUGGAUCAGUACACACAAGAAUCGCAUGGAUCAGUUGUCGUGCAGUGCAAGUUACUGCAAGCUCGCCUAGAUAGCAUCUUUGUCAGAGGGAGUUGCUUUCCAGGUACUUCUUAUGGUAGCUGCAGCCCAGUAGUUCUGGACACACGCUAGCUUGGACAGAUGUGCCCAUGUUAACAGCUGUGUUUCAAAAACAGUAUUCCACAGCACGUGACCAGGAGCAGAAGUGGAAAUAGCUGUUCCUGCUCUCCCCUUUCCAAGAUUUACUUUGUAAGCCAACUUCAUUUAAAAUAUUCAGAGGCAGGAGAGGUGAUGCAAUGAGCACAUCACCACAUGCCCACAGGGAAGACAAUGAUGAAUUUCAAGUGCAAAACUUUCCUUCCAUCUCUCUGAUUGAAAAGGACUAAACAACAACUACAUAAAGGGAGGAGAGGCUACGAAAGGAAUUGUAUGUGUUUUCCUGGAAGCGCUGCAAAGACCAGUGAAUAUUUUUACAAAGUGAUUUAGACCUGCAGUGGCACUUCUUCAGUAAGUAAAACAUCCGUGUCUCCAGGAGCUCAAUAUUACCAGGCGUUUCUAUUACUGAAUACCAGUUUUUCAGCAGCUGCUGAAAAAUAGAGUAGAGUAAAAAGGAAAGGAAAACCUUUGGGUAACUAACUUCAUGACACUCAUGUACUGGUCUGUAUCCCUUUUUUGUAUUCCUUCUCAAGAAAGCAAUUCUGUAUGGAACAGACUGAAAUGCACAUCACAGUUGCAGUCAGUGUUGAUGGCAAAAUGUGAGUUAAGAAGAGCUCUCUAACAGCUGAGGUUUUAGCUGGCCCAGGAAGGUAGUGAAGAGUGACCUACUGAUUUCAAAGGAAGCUGGAAUGAUAUGAAUGUGUGGAUGAAUAGCUGAGUGGCAGGACAGCAGAGAUGAGCUGUAAAUAAAACGGGGGAAAGAAAAAGGUUGGGCAUGUUGCUGAAGCAGAAGGCACAGAAUGUUAUUAUUUUUUUAGCAUCACAUUGUGCAGGUCUGUGCAAUGCACUCUGGAGGUAAGUCAGAACAGUGGAAUUCAGUGUUAGGGAACAUUGCAGAGAACAGCAGCUGCCAGGAGAGUGCUUUCAACUGUAGUCACAUACAACAUUAGGAAGAGUAUGGGACAAAAGUGGUGUGAUACCAUUUGUGUCAGCGCAGAAACAAAGAGGAUUCUUUGCCAGUGAGAGUCUGCUUGUAGUUUCCUGCUGUGGAUAUGCUGUCCUCUACUGUGAUUUAUCCUGCAGUUGGAAAAAACCAGGUAUUUCUUUAGGAUACGGUCACAAUCCCAUUCUCAUGCUUAGCGGAUGAAUGCACAGGGUGGAGUGUGCUGGGUGCUCUUU
Molecule: long non-coding RNA, 2223 nt
Filed under: Strigops habroptila (Kakapo)
Lineage: Eukaryota; Metazoa; Chordata; Aves; Psittaciformes; Psittacidae
Description: lncRNA (ENSSHBG00005007745.1)
Source: RNAcentral